UCUCUCUCAAAUCAAAAUCCUUUUCCACUGACAUACACUAUAAAUACCACGCAACGGCGUCGUUUCAACCCCCCAACUCUACUCCGACCCACUAAUACCACUCCCCUUCUGUUGGUGCACCUCUCUCCGGAUAUGGCGGAGAUACAACCACAGGACGCUCCCUUAAACGGCACUGCAACUGUCGCCGUCACCACAUCAGAGCCUGUUGGAUCCAAGCGCCAGAGAAGACCCAGCGUGCGACUGGGUGAUAUCGGCGGCGACCAGCCCUACGAUUCUCACGUCCGGAGAUCCACCAAGCAAUGGAAACACCACCAUCACCUCUCGAUUGAUCACAGGAGGGACUCUAAUCCAUCUGGAAAAACCUCAAAGACGCGGGCCCUUACCAAUCUUAGCUCCGGUGGCGGCGAUUACAGUGAAACCCUAGAUGACGAUAAAGAGGGAAACUUGGAUAGUCUUGCUAUUGGCAGCUGGAGAGUCAAGGAAUCCAAGAAGAGAGGUUCCAUGCCCACCGCCACCAAGAGGGUUCGAUCCAAUUGGGUGUCAAAAAUCGAUGACGAUAACAACAAUAACAACGCUAACAACAAUAAUAAUGGUGAAGGAGAGGACAAGUAUAGCGGAGGUGAGGAUAUGGACGAGGGUUACCGCGAUUUCAAUAUGGAGAAUUCGGAGAGCCCGUUGAAAGAGCAGAGUCCGAUUCAUUCGCUGGAUAAUUUGGCUGUGGAUGGUCAUGGAAAUGAAAGGGAUGCUUUCUAUCAUCAUGGGAACAAUAACCGGAGGCAUAAUAAUGUUAGGCCUAGGGUCUCGGAGAACAGAGAUGUGGAGCUAUCGGGGCCUUCAGAUACAGAUGUCAGGGAUUGGAGGAGCGGGAGAGGAGGGAGGUGUGGAGAGGAGGGAGUGAGGAUUUGGCUCAACGGAUUGGGGUUAGGAAGGUAUGCACCGGUAUUCGAGAUUCAUGAGGUGGAUGAUGAGGUUUUGCCAUUCUUGACAUUGGAGGAUUUGAAGGAUAUGGGAAUAAAUGCGGUGGGGUCAAGGAGAAAAAUGUAUUGCGCCAUUCAAAAGCUGGGAAAGGGUUUCUCGUGAGUUUUGAUGGAGUUUUGGUUUUGGGAAUCAAAGUCUUCUUUUUUUUUUGGAGAAUUCUCAGCCAUGGCAAUGACACAAGGUUUCUAAAUUUCACACUAAUAUCGUGGGGCAUAAAUUUCUAAAGUAAGACAAGCUACUUAAGUGCCAGAAAAGAGGCAGGGACUUAACAUGUUAAGGGACAAACCACAUGGCUUUGUAGUGUUUGAAGGUUUAUGUUAGGUUGCUUAACUGCUCUGGAUGGAUGAAGAGUAUUUUUAGGGACAUUGUUGACGAUUCCUCUACUCUCUUAAGGUGCAAAAGGGGUUUUCCAUUUUAUUUGGCGAUCCCUUGAGGUCACUGCAUUUGUGAUCUUGAUUCUAUUGAAAAUUAAUUUUGUUGAAGCUUGUGUAGUUUAUAUGAUGCUGCCACAUGGGUCAGAAGUUCAGUUCAUUUGAUUGAACUUGUUUUCCCAAGAGGAGAACUGCUUUAAGCUGGUGAAAGGUGGUGCGGUGGUGUGGUUGUCUGUGGACAAUAUGUUCCUCUGUAGUCCAUUGCCACUAGCCUUGGGUGUUUUCCCCUUUAUGAAUUGUUAUAAUAGGUUGUGUUCACUGUACAUUUAUGUACCAUUCGGGGGUCUUAUCAAGGUCAUCCUGUUGGUUAUCAAUGAAGAACCCCAAGGUCAGGGCCUUUCAGGUCUGCAUGAUCUUCAUAGUCGGCCAGUCCUCAAUUCUCCAAUUUGAGUCCCAGAUGAAUCAGUUUCUUGAUAUACGAGGUCUUAAAUGAUCUAUACCAAGGAACCCCGUUUAUUUAUUUGUGUAUUUGAUCUACAAACAGUUUCAUUGC
Molecule: non-coding RNA, 1902 nt
Organism: Carica papaya (papaya)
Lineage: Eukaryota; Viridiplantae; Streptophyta; Magnoliopsida; Brassicales; Caricaceae
Source: RefSeq, a predicted model, not a curated record